RNAcentral lists this ribosomal RNA (916 nucleotides) under uncultured Candidatus Poseidoniales archaeon. Its description in RNAcentral is "SSU rRNA". It matches the Rfam family "Archaeal small subunit ribosomal RNA", at positions 1 to 923 of the family's 1478-position model. Lineage: Archaea; Methanobacteriati; Thermoplasmatota; Candidatus Poseidoniia; Candidatus Poseidoniales. The record is from RNAcentral.
UUCCGGUUGAUCCUGCCGGAGGCUACCGCUAUUGGAGUUCGAUUAAGCCAUGCGAGUCGCGAGACUUAGAAUCUCGGCGUACCGCUCAGUAACACGUGGGUAACCUGCCCUAUGCUAGGGGAUAACCUCGGGAAACUGAGAAUAAUACCCUAUAGUUCACCACGCCUGGAACGGUGGGUGGAUGAAAGCUCCGGCGGCAUAGGAUGGGCCUGCGGCGUAUCAGGUUGUAGGGGGUGUAAUGUACCCUCUAGCCAUCUACGCGUACGGGUGUUGGGAGACAUCGCCCGGAGAUGGAUUCUGAGACACGAAUCCAGACCCUACGGGGUGCAGCAGGCGCGAAAACUUGGCAAUGCGAGAAAUCGUGACCAGGGAACUCCAAGUGCAUCGGGUAAGACCGAUGCUUUUCUUGACUCUUCAAAGGUCUUGGAAUAAGGGGUGGGUAAGGACGGUGCCAGCCGCCGCGGUAAUACCGGCGCCUCAAGUGGUAGUCGCUUUUAUUGGGCCUAAAACGUCCGUAGCCGGUUUGGUACAUUCGUGGGUAAAUCAAGGCGCUCAACGUCUUGAAUUCUGCGAGCACGGCCAGACUUGGGACCGGGUGAGGUGUGGGGUACUCUCAGGGUAGGGGUAAAAUCCUGUCAUCCUGAGAGGACCACCUGUUGCGAAGGCGCCACACUAGAACGGAUCCGACGGUCAGGGACGAAGCCUAGGGGCACGAACCGGAUUUGAUACCCGGGUAGUCCUAGGUGUAAACGCUGUGGACUUGAUGUUGGGAGUGCUCCGAGCACCCUCAGUGUCGAAGCGAAGGUGAUAAGUCCACUGCCUGGGGAGUACGGUCGCAAGGCUGAAACUUAAAGGAAUUGGCGGGGGAGCACUGCAACCUGAGGAUUGUGCGGUUUAAUUGGACUCAACGCCGGGA